GCGGGACUUGAAGAUAGGUUAUCCGUGUAGCCUUCGCUUUACUUGUGACGAAUCAUACACGGUUCACCUAUUUUUCAGUACCAA
Molecule: microRNA precursor, 84 nt
Filed under: Tursiops truncatus (common bottlenose dolphin)
Lineage: Eukaryota; Metazoa; Chordata; Mammalia; Artiodactyla; Delphinidae
Source: RNAcentral